Long non-coding RNA from Hibiscus syriacus, 601 nucleotides. RefSeq lists it as uncharacterized. The transcript is spliced from 4 exons. The record is from RefSeq and is a predicted model, not a curated record. NCBI's taxonomy places the organism in Eukaryota, Viridiplantae, Streptophyta, Magnoliopsida, Malvales, Malvaceae.
UGAAUCCCAGGUAAAAUUUCCCAAUUCCUUCACUGCUAUCCCUAACCCUUACUUUUCGACUCCCAAUUUGAUCGUUUAGAGCCUCCCUUCAUAUUCUCCAAUUGUGACAAUACCCUCCCCUUGAAACAAUCCUUGUCCCCAAGGAUCAAAGGCUGGAAACUGAGCCUUAAGAACAGUGAAAUCCUCCCAAGUGUACUGGGUAGCGUCCAAGUUUGUCCAUCACACCAAAAGUUGAGUAACUGGCUUGUUUUGUCGAUUAAUUAGUCGUUUCCCAAAAAUCUUCAAUGGAUAGAUUUUGAACUGACCCUCAUUGUCCAGUGCAUGAGGAUUGCUCGAAGGAACCACUGAGUCUCCGAUUCUCUUUAUUAACAGGCUCAUAUGGAAAAUUGGUUGCAGCCAAGAGUUUUCUGUACGAGGGAAAAUUGAAGAUAUGGUUGGAGCUUCAGGUUCCCAAAAGAGAAAAAAGGGAUCGAAGAUGAGCAUGUCAGGUUCCGAGAAGCGGAAAAAGGGAUCGAAAAUGAGCAUGUCAUGUCAGCUUCUCCUUCCUAAAGUUCAGAUCAGAAAAGUUGGAAUUAUAUGUAUUUUUUUAUUUAAAAUGUAG